GAUGAACGCUAGCGGCAGGCCUAACACAUGCAAGUCGAGGGGUAGAAGGAGCUUGCUCCUUUGAGACCGGCGCACGGGUGCGUAACGCGUAUGCAAUCUACCUUAUACAGGGGAAUAGCCCAGAGAAAUUUGGAUUAAUGCCCCAUGGUAUUAUUAAGUGGCAUCAUUUGAUAAUUAAAGUUCCAACGGUAUAAGAUGAGCAUGCGUCCCAUUAGUUAGUUGGUAAGGUAACGGCUUACCAAGACGAUGAUGGGUAGGGGUCCUGAGAGGGAGAUCCCCCACACUGGUACUGAGACACGGACCAGACUCCUACGGGAGGCAGCAGUGAGGAAUAUUGGUCAAUGGAGGCAACUCUGAACCAGCCAUGCCGCGUGCAGGAAGAAGCAUCUAUGGUGUGUAAACUGCUUUUAUACAGGAAGAAACAACGCUACGUGUAGCGUCUUGACGGUACUGUAAGAAUAAGGACCGGCUAACUCCGUGCCAGCAGCCG
This 490-nucleotide ribosomal RNA is filed under the name uncultured bacterium. RNAcentral's name for it is "bacterial SSU rRNA". It matches the Rfam family "Bacterial small subunit ribosomal RNA", at positions 28 to 517 of the family's 1533-position model. The record is from RNAcentral.